AUGGAAUCGAUUGCUCAUCAGUUUCAUCAGCAUGUGACGCUAUUCAAAAUGCAGCGUGUGACGUAACGUCUAAGAAAUGUAAAUGUAAAACAGGUUUCAUCAUGAAUGUUAACAAAUGUGACCCAAAGAAUUCUGCUGCCUUGAUGAACUUUGGUGUUGUUACGAUGGUAAUGUCUAUUCUGAUAGCUUUUAUUCUGUAGCGACAAUGGAAAAUAUAGUUGUUUUAACAGAAAACUUAGGAUCGGACAAGAUGGCUUUGUUAUAUUGUUUUUGUUCUUGUUGCAGUGGUUUAUAGUGUGCAAGUGUAAAAAAACACACAUGAAAACUUGAUUUUAGGAUACAAAUUGCAUACCAGUAUCUCUUUUUACGUCCAUAUUUUUUUAGUAUAUUAAUUGUUUCUUGAAAUAAAAAUUUAUGUUGUUACAAAUAAAUUAACCUAUAUUAAAUAUAUAGAACAUAAAUAUCAAUAGAUUUUUAGAAAUACAAUAAAUUGUUUAGAGGCCAACGACAAAGAUGCUACAAUAAUAAACAAGCGGCAUCUCAAUAUAUGUAUGUAUCCAAAUAAAGUUGUUUAA
Ruditapes philippinarum (Manila clam) is the source of this 575-nucleotide long non-coding RNA. RefSeq lists it as uncharacterized. Lineage: Eukaryota; Metazoa; Mollusca; Bivalvia; Venerida; Veneridae. The record is from RefSeq and is a predicted model, not a curated record. The transcript has 3 exons.